CGGAACAGAUUCCCACACCACUAUGAUCGAUGGGCUUGGAGUUGCUGGCUGGGGUGUUGGAGGUAUUGAAGCAGAAGCUACAAUGCUUGGUCAGGUAUGUAACCAUGAAUGCCAUAAGGAAAGUUUGUGUAUUAUGCUGAGAUUUGGAAUAUUCUUCUGUGCUUCAGUUAGUGACGUGUUUGGAAGUUAGGCUUUCCUCUUUGCGUAACCAUGAAUGCCAAGGAAAGUUUGUGCAUUAUGCUGAAAUUUGGAAUAUUCUUCUGUGCUUCAGUUAGUGACGUAUUUUGAAGUUAGGCUUUCCUUUUUGCUUAUCAACUGACCUCAUAUUAUUUCUUUCAAUGAACAAUUUUUCGUUGUCCUCCUUGAUCCAAAUCUAACUCCUUUUAUUUUUGUCUGUUCUGAAAAUUGUGCUCCCUUUUCUAUUUUCUUUUUUUGAUACUCGUGGUAUCCGUGGCAGCUUGUGUGCACCUCGACCAGUUCCAGUUCCAUGGAGCACCUGCUAUCUUCUACCAGUCAGUGUUGUCAAAGGCUCAUUUAAGGCGCGCUUAAGCCUGAAGCUUAGAAAACUCAAGGGAGGGUGCUUCGCCUCACUUAAGUUGCGCUUCAGUGUAAAGCAAGGCACUAAGACUAGCGCCUCAUUGCCCAUGAGUCCUCUCUUGAAUCAAGCAGCACUAAACAAGAAAUAAGUGUAUUAGUUGCUAAGGG
RNAcentral lists this long non-coding RNA (705 nucleotides) under Nicotiana benthamiana. Its description in RNAcentral is "long non-coding RNA (NBEN_LNC040971)". The record is from RNAcentral. Lineage: Eukaryota; Viridiplantae; Streptophyta; Magnoliopsida; Solanales; Solanaceae.